RNAcentral lists this ribosomal RNA (468 nucleotides) under uncultured bacterium. RNAcentral describes it as "partial 16S ribosomal RNA". It matches the Rfam family "Bacterial small subunit ribosomal RNA", at positions 28 to 507 of the family's 1533-position model. The record is from RNAcentral.
GACGAACGCUGGCGGCGUGCUUAACACAUGCAAGUCGAACGGAAAGGCCCUGCUUUUGUGGGGUGCUCGAGUGGCGAACGGGUGAGUAACACGUGAGUAACCUGCCCUUGACUUUGGGAUAACUUCAGGAAACUGGGGCUAAUACCGGAUAGGAGCUCCUGCUGCAUGGUGUGGGUUGGAGAGUGUCGGCGGUUGGGGAUGGACUCGCGGCUUAUCAGCUUGUUGGUGGGGUAGUGGCUUACCAAGGCUUUGACGGGUAGCCGGCCUGAGAGGGUGACCGGCCACAUUGGGACUGAGAUACGGCCCAGAAUCCUACGGGAGGCAGCAGUGGGGAAUAUUGCACAAUGGGCGGAAGCCUGAUGCAGCAACGCCGCGUGCGGGAUGACGGCCUUCGGGUUGUAAACCGCUUUCGCCUGUGACGAAGCGUGAGUGACGGUAAUGGGUAAAGAAGCACCGGCUAACUACGUG